RNAcentral lists this long non-coding RNA (311 nucleotides) under Capsicum annuum. RNAcentral describes it as "long non-coding RNA (CANN_LNC019889)". The record is from RNAcentral. Lineage: Eukaryota; Viridiplantae; Streptophyta; Magnoliopsida; Solanales; Solanaceae.
AAAGAAGAGCCACCAUCAUUUUUAUUCCAAGAAGAUCCGGCUCCCUGCUGACUCCACGAGGUUUUGCUAUCUGUCUUGUCCGAACCACCAUCUUGUUUAUUCCAGUCAGUCUUUGCAUCAGAUUGCUUUCCCCGAGAAGAUCCACCAUCCUGCUUGCCCCACGAGGUUUCUUGAUGUGAUUCAACCUUUUUGCCCCAGCCAUCAGACGCACCACUAGUGACACCAGCAGUAGAAGCAGCUUUCCCCCAACCAUCAUCUUGCCCAGAGCCAGUGUUCUCUUGAUGUGAUUCAACCUUUUUUCCCCAGCCAUC